RNAcentral lists this ribosomal RNA (492 nucleotides) under uncultured bacterium. Its description in RNAcentral is "partial 16S ribosomal RNA". It matches the Rfam family "Bacterial small subunit ribosomal RNA", at positions 29 to 507 of the family's 1533-position model. The record is from RNAcentral.
AGUGAACGCUGGCGGUAGGCCUAACACAUGCAAGUCGAACGGCAGCACAGUAAGAGCUUGCUCUUACGGGUGGCGAGUGGCGGACGGGUGAGGAAUACAUCGGAAUCUACUUUUUCGUGGGGGAUAACGUAGGGAAACUUACGCUAAUACCGCAUACGACCUACGGGUGAAAGUAGGGGAUCUUCGGACCUUGCGCGAUUGAAUGAGCCGAUGUCGGAUUAGCUAGUUGGCGGGGUAAAGGCCCACCGAGGCGACGAUCCGUAGCUGGUCUGAGAGGAUGAUCAGCCACACUGGAACUGAGACACGGUCCAGACUCCUACGGGAGGCAGCAGUGGGGAAUAUUGGACAAUGGGCGCAAGCCUGAUCCAGCCAUACCGCGUGGGUGAAGAAGGCCUUCGGGUUGUAAAGCCCUUUUGUUGGGAAAGAAAAGCAGCAGGUUAAUACCCCGCUGUUCUGACGGUACCCAAAGAAUAAGCACCGGCUAACUUCGUG